RNAcentral lists this ribosomal RNA (469 nucleotides) under uncultured Anoxybacillus sp. RNAcentral's name for it is "bacterial SSU rRNA". It matches the Rfam family "Bacterial small subunit ribosomal RNA", at positions 916 to 1381 of the family's 1533-position model. Lineage: Bacteria; Bacillati; Bacillota; Bacilli; Caryophanales; Anoxybacillaceae. The record is from RNAcentral.
ACGGGGCCCGCACAAGCGGUGGAGCAUGUGGUUCAAUUCGAAGCAACGCGAAGAACCUUACCAGGUCUUGACAUCCCCUGACAACCCAAGAGAUUGGGCGUUCCCCUUCGGGGGACAGGGUGACAGGUGGUGCAUGGUUGUCGUCAGCUCGUGUCGUGAGAUGUUGGGUUAAGUCCCGCAACGAGCGCAACCCUCGACCUUAGUUGCCAGCAUUCAGUUGGGCACUCUAAGGUGACUGCCGGCUAAAAGUCGGAGGAAGGUGGGGAUGACGUCAAAUCAUCAUGCCCCUUAUGACCUGGGCUACACACGUGCUACAAUGGGCGGUACAAAGGGUCGCGAACCCGCGAGGGGGAGCCAAUCCCAAAAAGCCGCUCUCAGUUCGGAUUGCAGGCUGCAACUCGCCUGCAUGAAGCCGGAAUCGCUAGUAAUCGCGGAUCAGCAUGCCGCGGUGAAUACGUUCCCGGGCCUU